AUUAAUAAAAAUUAAAAGUGACGGGCAAUGUGUACAUAUUUAAAAAUUAAUUUAAAAUAUUUAUUUAAAUAAAUUUAAUUUUAAAUCCAAUUUCCAAAAUAUAUUAAAAUAAAUUAUCCAAAGAAAUUUUUAAAUAUAGUAUUUCAUUAAAAUUUUAAUUAUUAAAUAUAUUAUUAUUUGAAUUUUUUUUUUAAAAAAAAUUUAAAUAAUAAUAUAUUUAUAUUAUUUAUACAACAAUAUAUAAUUUAAAUAAAUUAAAUAAAUUAUAUUGUGGAUUAUCAAUUAAUAAACAAAAUCCUCUAAUUUUAUUAAAUACUGCCAAAAUAUUUAAUUUUCUUUAUUUACAAAUAAUAAUUAAUUUUUUAAAAUAAUAUAUAUAAUA
Molecule: ribosomal RNA, 382 nt
Filed under: Schizomyia buboniae
Lineage: Eukaryota; Metazoa; Arthropoda; Insecta; Diptera; Cecidomyiidae
Description: partial 12S ribosomal RNA
Source: RNAcentral